UUUUUCUCUCAAAAAAAUAUAUAUUUUUUUUGAAUUGACUAAAACUUCGAGUUAUAUAAGUUCACUACAAGAAAUUUUGGAUCUCCUAACGUCGUUUUGCAUCGUCGGAAGAUAUGACGUUAGGAGUUAAAGCCUCUUCUGAUGCACAAACUGAGGUGUAGGGAGAGGCCCUAACUCCCGACGCUUUACUUUAUGGGAGUUAGCAUUUAAAAAACUCUCUGCUCUUCACAGAUCUGUGAAAAAGGGAAAAGGAACAAGUAGAAAUGGAGUCUGCUAGGGUUGCUCAUAUAUUUGCCGUCGGGGUCGAAGUCGUCGUCGUUGUUAGUGUCGAUGCGUCGUCAGCGUCAGUGGCUGAUCUGUCCAUUGUCGUUACUCCCUCCACCCGUGUCUCUGUCAUGAUCUCUUAGUUGGAGGUAAUUCAAAAUUUGAAAUCCUAAAU
RNAcentral lists this long non-coding RNA (439 nucleotides) under Cucumis sativus (cucumber). RNAcentral describes it as "long non-coding RNA (CSAT_LNC002782)". The record is from RNAcentral. Lineage: Eukaryota; Viridiplantae; Streptophyta; Magnoliopsida; Cucurbitales; Cucurbitaceae.